RNAcentral lists this long non-coding RNA (760 nucleotides) under Homo sapiens (human). RNAcentral describes it as "HSALNT0157009". The record is from RNAcentral. Lineage: Eukaryota; Metazoa; Chordata; Mammalia; Primates; Hominidae.
CAGGUUUCGGGUGCCCCCAGUGGGCCUCGGGUUCCAGGCAGCUCGUGACAAGCCCCUGUGCUCUCUAGAAAGCCCGUUUUGGCCUGAGUGCGGCUGAGGACAUCACCCCCCGGUUCAGGUGAGACCCAAGCAGGGAGGAAGGACGGGUGGGGAGGAGGAGGGUCUGCCACAGCUCUCCGCACCUCUCCUCUCCCAGGGCAGCCUGUGAGCAGCAAGCUGUGGCUCUGACUCUGCAGGAGGACAGAGCAUCCCUGACGCUUUCAGGGGGGCCCUCGGCACUGGCCUUUGACCUCUCCAAGGUACCAGGCCCAGAGGCAGCCCCCAGGCUGCGGGCGCUGACACUGGGCCUGGCAAAACGCGUGUGGAGCCUGGAGCGGCGACUGGCAGCUGCAGAAGAGACAGCUGUCAGCCCGAGGAAGAGCCCCCGGCCUGCAGGGCCUCAGCUCUUCUUACCAGACCCAGAUCCCCAGAGAGGUGGCCCUGGACCUGGAGUCAGGAGGCGGUGUCCAGGAGAGUCGCUCAUCAACCCCGGGUUCAAGAGUAAGAAACCAGCUGGUGGCGUGGACUUCGAUGAGACCUGAAGGUGCAGCACAAGCGUGGCCCCGCGGGGAGUCCGCCUAUGAGGGGAGAGGCAGUCUUUGAGGCCCCCAUCAGAGACCCCCCGCCACCACCUCCACCUGCCUGUCCUGGGCCAGGACUAACACGGCUCCUCAAAUUCCUUCCCUGUCAAAUAAACAGCUCCCUUGGUUGGAGGCUCUGG